This 811-nucleotide long non-coding RNA is filed under the name Medicago truncatula (barrel medic). Its description in RNAcentral is "long non-coding RNA (MTRU_LNC000087)". The record is from RNAcentral. Lineage: Eukaryota; Viridiplantae; Streptophyta; Magnoliopsida; Fabales; Fabaceae.
UUUCUUGGAAAACUUAAAACCCUACUUGUUACUAGUUGUGGCAAUCUCAGAAGUAUUCCACCUCUCAAGUUGGAUUCGCUAGAAAAAUUUGACCUUUCUUAUUGUGGUAGUCUUGAGAGUUUUCCAUUGGUGGUGGAUGGGUUUCUUGGAAAACUUGAAACCCUUCUUGCUGAAAAUUGUCACAAUCUUAGGAGUAUUCCACCUCUUAAGUUGGAUUCACUAGAAACAUUUGACCUUUCAUGUUGUUAUAGUCUUGAGAGUUUUCCACUUGUGGUGGACGGUUUUCUUGGAAAACUUAAAACCUUACUUGUUACAAGUUGUCACAAUCUUAAGAGUAUCCCACCGCUCAAGUUGGAUUCUUUAGAAACACUUGACCUUUCAUGUUGUUAUUGGCUCGAAAGUUUUCCACUUGUGGUGGACGGGUUUCUUGGAAAACUUAAAACCCUGCGUGUUACAAGUUGUCACAAUCUCAGGAGUAUUCCACCUCUCAAGUUGGAUUUGCUAGAAGAACUUGACCUUUCAAAUUGUUAUAGGCUCGAGAAUUUUCCACUUGUGGUUCACGGGUUUCUUGGAAAACUUAAAACCCUUCUUGUUACAAGUUGUCACAAUCUCAGGAGUAUUCCACCUCUCCAGUUGGAUUCACUUGAAAAACUUGACCUUUCAAAUUGUUAUAGGCUCGAGAGUUUUCCACUUGUGGUGGAUGGGUUUCUUGGAAAACUUAAAACCCUACUUGUUACAAGUUGUCACAAUCUCAGGAGUAUCCCACCUCUCAAUUUGGAUUCUUUAGAAAAACUUGACCUUUCAUGUUGUU